RNAcentral lists this long non-coding RNA (39618 nucleotides) under Coffea arabica (coffee). RNAcentral describes it as "long non-coding RNA (CARA_LNC006959)". The stretch from base 32743 to 32849 matches the Rfam family "Plant small nucleolar RNA R71". The record is from RNAcentral. Lineage: Eukaryota; Viridiplantae; Streptophyta; Magnoliopsida; Gentianales; Rubiaceae.
CAGUCUACAAGUAUAAGUCACCACCACCUCCUUCCCCAAUUUACAAGUCACCACCACCACCUCCUCCAGUAUACAAAUCACCUCCACCACCUCCUCCAGUUUACAAAUCUCCACCACCACCAAUUUAUAAAUACAAGUCUCCUCCACUACCUCCUCCAGUGUACAAGUCAUCACCACCACCUGCUUACAAGUCUCCACCUCCUCCAGUUUACAGUUCCCCACCACCACCAAUCUACAAGUCUCCACCUCCACCCUACCAUUACUACUACAAUUCUCCUCCUCCUCCUCGUCACUACUAAGCAAUUGUAUCCAAGUUUUUGAGGUAAUAACGUUUAACCAAUAAAUUAACUUUCGCAUGAUAAACCUUAUCUCUAUCUAGACAAACUGCCAUGUGUAUAAUGCCAAAUACGUACACCUAGAUCCAUGAAAAUGAGUGGUAGAAAGUUUUCUUAAGAACCAAGGAACAGCAUUAGUAUUCCCUCUGCUUCCAAACACUUGUGUAUUAAAUAGAUUAAUGAAUUGUUUAACAUGCUCAUCUACUUGAAAAUGCACAAUACCCAUAACCCACUGAAAUUUUUGCAGGAAAAGGGAAAGAGAAUCUGUGUUUGAGAGCUUCAUGAAGAUGUUGAAGAAUAAGAAUAAAAGCCCAAUGCGAGGAUGUUUUCAAGUUUUUCUAUGUUUCCACUUUAAUUUGUAAAUUGAAUUUUGCGACUCAAUUAAUUCCCUGUUUGUGGGGUACGUAUUGUUUUACGUACCAUGCCGUACAUGUUUGUAAGGAUUUCUAUCCUAUUGGCAAAAGUCGGUUCCGUACAAUUAAUCAAUUCAUUUCACUUCUAUUGGCUCUACUAUUUAUGCAUGUUACGACAUUUUUUCUCUCUUUCCCUUAUAUUUUGCCUUUAAUAUUAUUGAGUCAAUAUUAAUAAUGGGCCUUUUUCUUAAAAUUAUACUAUUAUACAUAGGUAGUUUGGUCUAACGCUAAAUUCAUGUUUGUCUUUCUUUUAUUCCCUUUACAUCUCAAAGUAUACUAUAGUUUGUAAUCAUUGUGGUGAUGAUAUUACCAGCUGGUACUUAUAGUUUAAGGCAGAGACAUGAUAUUAACAACUAUCUCAUUGAAACAUAAGGAAAAAUCAUGACAAGUGUGAGUCUUGGUUAAUGCACAAUUUGUUAGUGGAAUUUAUAUUUAUAAAACUCAAAAAAAAUUUUUGACAAUGCUAUUACUAAUUAAUUAAGGACUUUAUUGCUAUAACUUAUCGCUUACUAGUUUAAACUAUAAAUGAUCUCAAUACUUUUCUCCAUGAUGUCGAUUUCUUUAGACUACGAAAGGGAAAAAUUAGUGACAUAUCCUCUACUGAUUACAACAUCAGCAAAAAUUAGUUAUAAACUUUUCCGGUGGUUUUAAAUCCCUCGGGCCCUAAGAUUUUUUGCUCAUCGAGUGAAUUAAGGAACAUAGGCAAUUCGUUCUACAUACCAAGUCCUUGUUUAAGAUGCAAGUACUAAAAUGCAUCCACUUCAUUAAUUUGGGAAAUUGCCAUAGUUUUUUUUAAGCAUUUUGAUUUUUUACAUGAUUCAAAAUUUUCUGAUUGGAUACAAUCACUUUGUAUCAAGAACACAUUUUCAAUCACCUUUUUUUAUCUUCUCAAUAAGAAAAUAAAAAUUUAUUCAUGCUUUUCUAACAUAUUCAAUCAUUGAUCUGAAAAUUAAAACAUUAAAAAAAAAGGACAUUUUCAAUCACUGCUUACAGGGCAACUUCCCCAUGUGAACCUCUUCAAACAAAGCCAAUAAUAUGAAGGAAUAUCUAAAUAUACUUUUGCCCUAAAGGCUGGUUGCCUUGGGGUCAAAAUUUAACCUUCCGGAGUAUAAUUACCCUGCCAAAUUUAUUUUUUUUUUAUGGGUAUAUAGUUCCAAUUUUGCCUCCUGUUAAGCUUAUAAAUAUAUUAUCACCCAGAAAAUAAAGGAAUCUUGAAUACUAACAUGUCCAUUGACUUGAGUUGUCAUCAAUUUGGCUACUUCGAUUCCAUGAGGCCAAUCCAAUUCACACUAGCUAGAGAAAAUGGUGACAAAGGCACUUAGAAAAUUAUAUGUAAUAUUGAUUGGUAGUAACCAGCUUGUAUUGAUUGGUAGUAACCAGCUUGUGCUCUUAUGAAAAAAAAAUUAGCAAAAUUUAUGAGAACAAUUAAAUUUAUUCGUACAAAUCAGUCAAAGAAGUAGUAUUUUAAAGACCGUGAUGAAAUUAAUACUUUCAAGGUUUCUAUUAGGAAGACUUCCUUUGUUGGUGAAACUACACUAGGCAGAGUUAUAUGGUAUCAAAAAAUAGUUGUAUUCACGUCUGUUCUUUUUUUCUUCCUUAAGUUUUUUUCUUUAUUCUCGUGACUUCAAAAAUACGAACUCAAGAAAUUGGCUGCUCAAUCAGUAUGUCAUACAGGCUUCGCUAGUGAGGUAUAACUUCACAACUAGAGCCAAUAGAAAUCGUCAAAUGAUUUUUUGACAUCCAAAUUAAGCAAUAAAUUUUGUUUUCAUUUCAUAACAUAUAAUAGUACUACUUCAUGGGAGAUUUUAUAGUUUCUUUAGGGUAUCAUACCUACAAGUGAUAUUUGUCAUUGGAUAGUGAAAGAAGUGUUAAUGACUGUAAGAUUAAAUAUUGUUAAAUAUUGAAAAUUUAAACUAUUUAUCUUUAUUGAGAGAUACAACUUAAAGAAUCCUACCCAAAAGAGACUAUAGAAUUUUCUCUGUUUUUCAUCAUCUGUAGACAUAAAUUUUGCCUAUACAAUGUGAUAGCAUUUUUUCAAAAAGACAAGAUGGAAAAUUGCCCCCCUUGAACGGAAAAUUGCCCCCUUGUCAAUUCUUUAAAAAAGAAUACUCGCUCCUGAACAUAGCCUGUUCAUCUACACUGUCCCGCAGAAUUCUAGAAAGUUAGGCAAAACUAGACUAGUUGACAGGUAUAAUCAUACCCAACAUCAGGAACAAGCAGUUGCACAUUUCAAAAUUCGCUGCUGCAACAACUAAUUUGAUGACUUACAACACUACACGGUCAAACUUUGAAUGGCAAUGGAUCUUUUGAUGUAAUUUUCAUGUUACAUACAUUAAUAGAUUGAUAUCUAUAUUCUUUAAAUUAUCGUAAUAAUACUCUUAAUUACAUUUAAUUGAUAAAAAGAACACGUGUCAACACACAAAAAUGUGUAAUGUGAAUGUUACAUUAGUGUAUAGCAGAAGACCUAUAGUCUCUUCACAUCUCUUCCUGCACGUAUCAAUUCGUUUCCUCUAGAUAAUAAUCUCCCAACUCAUUUCUUUACAAAUGCACCUUUUAUGUUUUAUUACCUCCAAAAGCCUUUACAGGGUCUUUACCCUAAAAAUCAAUUCACCGACUCGCAUUUGAUAUCAGAAAUUCUUAUUACGAAUUCUACUUUACUCAAAGAUUGACUGUUAAUAAUGAGACAACGACCAUUUUGUAUUAUUACACCGUCCUUCUUGAUAGGCAAAAGAAAUAGAGAGGAAAGCGGGUCCGUAUAUGGUCUUUUAUUCAUAGAUAAUACAACAUUACGCCAUCGAGCAUUCACACAAUAUUUCAAAGUCAUUGCAUGCCUAAGACCCUGUUUGAUAAUCCAAUUCCAUACUUAAAUUUAAUGGAUUUAAAUCUUAACACAUUCAAAUCGUUUGAUAACAAAAAAUUGAACAUUUAAAUUAAUUAAGUAACACUGGAUUUCCAAGACAAAACUUGCUCCCAAAAUUAAGUGAUAAGUGAAUAACUUAUCACUGAAUGUAUGUAUUAGAUUUAAUACUUAAUAAUUUAAUAAUUUAAUGAAUUCAGAUUUCAGAUUUCAGAUUUCAGAUUUCAGUUUUCAGUUUUAUCACACACACCCUAAGUUACAAAUUAAUACCAAAACUUGUUAUUAUAUAGCUUGAGAUUCAAAAAUUUAGAGCAUAAUUCUCAACCUAACACAAUUGAAUAAUGAAUAUUCACGAUUGUCAAAACUAUCAAAGUACAAUUUGAGGACAACCCAUUCCAACGCGUACACGAUUUUUAACUUUUCUAAAGUUGUUGAGAGCUGUUGAAAGAGAUUUACCAUGUUUACAUCUUCCAAGUCUUGGGAGUAAAAAAUGAAGCCACUGAGUGCUAUAAAAAGGGGGCUAGAGGCUGCCUAGAAGCAUAUCAGCCUAAAACAAGAAUUUGUAGUAACAAUGGGGAGCAAAGCAAAAGCAACGGAGUCUAGGCUGACUCCUCUUCUUACCACUGUUUUAGUGGUAUUUGUUGCCCUUGGCUUGCCCUUGGAAACUGCAGCUGAUUAUUACAAGUAUUCAUCUCCUCCUCCUCCUCCUUACCACUAUUCCUCACCACCACCUCCUGAGUAUUCACCUCCACCAACCCCUGUUUAUAAGUUACCCCCACCAUCUCCUCCAGUUUACAAGUCCUCACCGCCACCUUACCACUACUCACCACCUCCGGUGUAUUCACCUCCACCAUCACCAGUUUACAAGUCACCGCCACCACCCCCUCCAGUAUACAACUCCCCGCCUCCACCAGUGUACAAAUACAAGUCCCCACCGCCACCUCCUCCAGUUUACAAAUCUCCACCGCCACCAAUUUACAAGUACAAGUCACCCCCACCACCUCCUCCGGUAUACAAGUCUCCUCCGCCACCUGUUUACGAGUACAAGUCUCCUCCACCACCUCCUCCAGUGUACAAGUCUCCACCACCUCCAGUUUACAAGUACAACUCACCACCACCUCCUCCCCCAGUUUACCAAUCUCCACCACCACCAGUUUACAAAUACAACUCACCACCACCUCCUCCCCCAGUUUACCAGUCUCCACCUCCACCCUAUCAUCACUACUACGGUUCUCCUCCUCCUCACCACUACUAAGCAAGUGCAUCUAAGUUUUGAGGUAAUAAUACCUAUCCAAAACUUUAUCAACACAAACUGCCAUGUAUAUCAUGCUAAGGACGUACACUUGAUCCAUGAAAAUGACUUGUAGAAGAUUUUUUUUAAGAACCAAAGAAAUACAUUAUUUUUUCGGUCUGUUUUCAAGAAUUUGAGCAGUAUACAGAUUAAAGAGUGUUUUUUUUUUUAAACUUGCUUAUCAACUUAGAAAUGCACAUAGCUGAAAGCCAACUGAAUAUUUGCAGGCAAAGGAGAAGACAAUCGGUGUUUGCGACCUUCAAGAAGAUGUAGAAGAAUAAGAAUAAAAGCCCAAUGCGAGGAUGAUUCCAAGUUUCUACGUUACCAUUUCUACAUCUAAAUUGACUCUAGCUCCUGAGUUCCAUGUUUAUGGGGUUUGUACCGUUUUACGUACCAUGCAGUGCAUGCUUGUAAGGUUUUCUGUCCUGUUGGCAAACUGCAGGUCCAUAUAAUAAAAGAAUACUAUUUAUAUUACGACACUUUUCUCUCUUUCUCUUAUAUUUUGUCUUUAAUAUUGUUGAUCAUUUUUUUUUAUUUAUCAAAAGUAUCAAAUGUUUAGGUAAUUUGGUCUAAUGCUAAUUGUUUUACUUCUCUUUUUCACCUACACCCCUUUUCAACUCAAAGGAUGCUAUAGUUUGUGAUAAUUGUUUAAGACCGAAGCAUGAUACUAAUAAAUAUCUCAUUGAAAGUCAAGGAAACUAACAUUAUGAAAAGUGUAAAUCUUGAUUUGAUGAAACUAUUUAUUCGUGGAAUUUAGAGAUACAAAACUCAAAUUGUGACGGUGCUGUUGCUAAAUUAUUAAGGACAUUAUCACCACUAUUUUUCCCUUACUAGUUUCAACUGCAAUGAUCUCAAUCUUUUUGUGACUAAUUCUUUUCUUAAUAAUUUAUAAAUACAAAACUCACAAAGAAUAUGUGACUAAUUCUUUCCUUUCGUCUUCUAAAGAAAAUGGCAACUGUUAGUUUAUCAAGGGAAAAAGGAUCGACAUCAGUUGUUAUUGAAACUAGUAAGGAAAAAAUAAUGGUGAUAAUGUCCUUAAUAAUUUAACAACAGCACCAUCAGAAUUUGAGCUUUGUAUCUAUAAAUUCCACGAAUAAAUAGUUUCAUCAAAUCAAGAUUUACACUUUUCAUAAUGUUAAGUUUCCUUGACUUUCAAUGAGAUAUUUAUUAGUAUCAUGCUUCGGUCUUAAACAAUGAUCACAAACUAUAGCAUCCUUUGAGUUGAAAAGCGAAGUAGGUGAAAAAGAGAAGUAAAAAAUACAAUUAGCAUUCCCUCAAAUCGUAGAAAGUUAGGUAGCAUUAUAGACAAGUUGAUAGCCGUAAUGAUACUAAAAAUCAGGCAAAAGCCAGCAAUUUUACAUUUCAAAAUUCACCUAUCCAAUAACUAAUUCGAUGGCUUGCUACAUGGUCAAUCUUUGGACCCCUUCCUGCCACCACAUAUCCCUUUCCUCAAUCAGGGGCUUCUACAAUUACCAGUUCCAAUUGUAUGGUAUAGUGUAAAUAUCAACAAAUCAGAUGUAGACGCUAAUUUAAUAAAUGUGGAUGCUAAGACAACAACAUACAAAAACAUAAUAAAUUUUGGCAUUCCUUAAAAAAAUUAAGUCCCCAAAUCAAUCUCAUACACCCAAUUUCUAAUUUAAUUUAACCCAUUCCCUCUAUUAACUACACCAUACAAUACAAUCGAACCCAUUCCCUUCUAAUUUCUUCACAAAAUGCACCUUUCAUCACCGACAUGAUCUUUACCCUAGAAGACUAUUCACCGACUCUCCAUUGACGUCAGAAAAUCUAAGAGUAAUUCUACUUUACCCUAAGAUUGAUAUCAACGAGACAAUAAUGACAAUUUAGAAUUAUUACACGCCUCUUCUUAAUAGGAAAAAGAAAUACAGAAGAAAGUCAGGCCAGGUCUAAUUCUUUUUCAAAGGCAAUACAAUAUUACGAAAUCAAGCAGUCAUUCAUACAAAUAUUUCAUAGUCACCGGCCGGGGUUUGCUGAGUAGAAAAGUUUAUACAAAAACUUAAUAUUAUAUUGUUUAAGAGUUAACAAUUUAGAGCUUAAUCUCCUUGUACUUUGGACUAAACUCGAACGUGAAAGGAAAUCCCAAAACCAUAUUGGGCAUGAAUUCACACUUAAUAGACCCAAAAGAAGAUGGCGACUGGUGAAAGGCAGUGGAGACUGGUGGAGAGAUUUGAGGAAUAGAAGCAGACGGAAAAGCAACAAAUUUUUGCCGAAAAACGGUCACUUUCAUGGUUAAUUUUGCUACUCUCUAAUUGUACUUGACCAAAUACAACAAUUUCAUGGAGUUUGAUACACAAGCCCAAAUACACGAGAGUGUGUAACCUGAAUUGUUACUUAUACAUUAGUGUGUAAUAGAACGGCAAGCAUUAUGGUGGUCAUUGAGCAACUUAUAGAAGAAAUAGUCCUAUAAGCUGUUCGAUGACCAAUCGCAACUUGCUAAUUGGAUGACUAAUAUAGCUCUAGCUGUAAUGUUUUAAUUAAAUUCCAUCACUAACGUUGGGAUGACUUUUUAACCAAAAAAAAAAAAAAAGCCUUAGUUCAAGCUUUUCCCCUUAUUGUGCAUUUUUUAAAACAUUUGAUAGGCACUGCAAAUCUGUCAUUUUGGACAUCAACCCAUAUCCAACACAAGAUUAAAUUAAUAUUAGAAAAAAUUAUUACGUAAUUGGAAAAAAAAAAAGAAGAGACUAAUUUUCAUUGAAACCCACCGACAAACUAAGCGUGUCCAUAGCUUUUGAUUAGUUCAUUGCCGAUCACAUGGAGUAAAGAUUGUGCUCUUUCCCUUUCCCCCCCUUUUGGAAUCGAUACUGUGGAGAAUUGGCUUUUUCCCUCCUUUUUUUCUUUUCUUUUCUUUUCUUUCCUUCUGUACUUUGCAAAACAUAGGUAAAAAUAUGAAAUCCGAAGCAUUCUUUAAUUGGGAUUAAGUAUUGUUCUUGAAAUUAAAAAAAAAAAGAAAGAAAGAACAACAAAAAUCCCAAUCUGGGUUGAUUGUUGAGCUCUAGAUUGGCUGCAUCGUGCUUCCAUAGAAGUUCUCUUAGUGUGAUACGCUGCUUUCAAUCAGUUUUAACACGGGAAAAAGAAAAGACAUGAAAAGCAAAUUUUGUGGGGAUAAUUUCGGUAACCUCCCCUGAAGUUUUUGACUAUUUUACUGGCCUCCCUUCAGAUUUUAAAAAUUGCACUAAUCUUCCUUAAAGUUAAUUAUCUUGUAACAUUUAGAUCCAAUCAAUAAUUUAAAAAAUGAUAUUAUGAGAGAGAAAAUAAUAUGAUUUUAUCAUUGCCCCCAUCUUACUACAUUAUUUAAUUAAUUUAAUAGCAACCCACACAUUAAAGAAAAAUGCAAAAAUUUGUUGUUUAUCAUUAAAGAUCAUCAUAUCGCAUAUAACAUCAAAAAAUAGUAUAUUAUUUAUAUUUUUCACUUAAUAUAAUAUCCAAAUUACUCUUUUCAGUUACAUACCCAUUGUUAGACAAAAUCAACAACAAAUAACCAAAAAAUUUGCAACCAAAAUAUUACAAAAAAAUAAACUUUAACAUCAUAAAUAUUUUUAUCAACAUAUUAAAGUUAGUUAUUGAAAUUUUUAUGGUGUUAAACUUCACUCUUUGUAAUAUUUUGGUUACAGAUUUUUUUGAUUAUUUGUUGUUGAUCGUGUUUGACAAUGGAUUUGUAACUGAAAAGAACAAUUUGGAUCUUACAUUAAGUGAAAUAUAUAAAAAUAUUAUACUAUUUUUUAUGGCAUAUGUGAUUCUUUUUUUUUUUUUUUUUUUAUCAGAACGGCAACAUUGUAUUAAUAGUAAACCAAUUACAGUAUAGGUGGGCAACCGCCCUCACAAUCUGCCUGGACUUGUUCCAGCAGCCAAACUGGGAAGUUUUCCUUCCAUUCAGUAUUUUGUUCCAAAGUAAUAGCUACUUUAGCUAGUUUAUGGCUAACAAAGUUGUUCACCCUAUUUGCAAAGGUAAAACAACAUUCAUCAAAUUUUAUUCAUGUACAAUUGUUGCUAUCACCACGUCCUCCUCCUCCUCCUCACUGCACACUACUUGACUACCACCCUUCGCCAACCUUGCUGUUGCAUGUGCAACUAUCAUGGCCUCUCUUAGCGCCUUUGCUUCUUCGACCUUUGGACUGGCACAGCUAAAAUUUGGAACAGCCCAGGCCCACCCGCAAUCUUCCCAACCAAUCCCUGGCCACCCUUUUCCCACCCAGCUUCUAUGGCAUGUGUGAUUCAAUCCUUCUUGAUAGGAUUGGUAAUAGAGGCAGAGGGGGGAGCCGGCUGCAUCCGGUCUACUUUUCAUAGAUAGUACAAUAUUGCGAAAUCGAUCGCAUUCACACAAGAAUAUUUCGAAGUCAUUGCAUCGCUAAGUUGCAAAAAAGUACAAACACUUGUUAUUAUAUAGCUUAAGAUUCAAAACUUUAGAGCACAACCCUCCACCUAACACAAUUGAAUAAUGAAUAUUCACGAUUGUCAAAUCUGUCAAAGCACAGUUUGAGGACAACCCAUUCCAACCUGCAAAAGAUUUUUGACUUUUUUAAAGUUGUUGAGAGCUGUAAAAAGACUUACCAUGCUUACAUCUUCCGAGCCUUGGGAGUUAAAAAUGAAGGCACUGAGUGCUAUAAAAAGGGGGCUAGAGGCUGCCUAGAAGCAUAUCAGCCUAAAACAAGAAUUUGUAGUUAUGAUGGGAAGCAAAGCAAAAGCAAUGGGGUCUGGGCUGACUCCUCUUCUUACCACUGUUUUAGUGGUAUUUGUUGCUCUUGGCUUGCCCUCAGAAACUGCAGCUGAUGAUCACUACAAGUAUUCAUCUCCUCCUCCUCCUUACCACUAUCCCUCACCACCACCUCCAGUGCAUUUACCUCCACCAGUGUACAAAUACAAGUCCCCACCACCACCUCAUCAUGUUUACAAGUACAAAUCUCCACCACCCCCACCACCACACCCAGUUUACAAGUAUAAGUCGCCACCACCACCUCCUCAUCCGGUAUACAAGUACAAGUCUCCUCCGCCACCUCCUCAUCCGGUACCACACCCAGUUUACAAGUAUAAGUCACCACCACCACCUCCUCAUCCGGUACCACACCCAGUUUACAAGUAUAAGUCUCCUCCGCCACCAGUUUACAAAUAUAAGUCUCCUCCACCACCACCUCCAGUGUACAAAUACAAGUCUCCACCACCACCAGUUUACCACUACAAGUCUCCACCACCUCCUCCCCCAGUUUACAAAUACAAGUCUCCACCACCACCAGUUUACCACUACAAGUCUCCACCACCUCCUCCCCCAGUUUACAAAUACAAGUCUCCACCACCACCACCACCAGUUUACCACUACAAGUCACCACCACCUCCUCCCCCAGUUUACAAAUACAAGUCUCCACCACCUCCUCACCACUACUAAGCAAUUGCUUCUGAGGUAAUAACACUUGUUCAAUAUACACACUUCUGCAUGAUAAAACAUAUCUCUAUCAACACAAACUGUCAUGUCUAUCAUGCUAAGUGCCUUCACUUCAUCCACGAAAAUGACUGCUAGAAAAUUUUUUUUUAAGUUACCAAAGAAAAGCAUCAUUUUUUCCCUCUGUUAUCAAGAACUUGUACAGUAUGUAGAUUAAAGAGUUUUUAUUUUAACUAGCUUAUCAACUUAGAAAUGCAUAUAACUGAUAGCCAGCUGAAUAUUUGCAGGCAAAGGAGAAGGAAACCAGUGUUUGGACCUUCUUGAAGAUGUAGAAGCAUAAGAAUAAAAGCCCAAUGUGAAGAUGAUGAUUUCAAGUUUUUCUACGUUACCAUUUCUAUAUCUAAAUUCGUUGUAGCGCCUUAGUUCCUUUGUUUAUGGGAUUUGUAUCGUUUUACGUACCAUGCAGUACAUGUCAUGUUUGUAAGGUUUUCUAUCCUGCCGGCAAAUCGCAGGUUCCAUGUAAUAAAUCAAUACUAUUUAUAUUACGACACUUUUCUCUGUUUCUCUUAUAUUUGUUUGGAUUGAGCUUUAUUUCCCCAAAUUUAUUUGCUUACAUCAUCAUUACAAUUUCUAAUACACCUUUUUACCUUCCCGAUUACCUUUUUAUCUCACAUACAUCACAUCACAAAAAGUGCUACAGUAAAAAUAUCUCUAAUAAUUCACAAUCCAAACAGACUUUUGUCUUUAAUAUUCUUAAUCAUAUUUUUAACAAAAAUAUUCAAAUACUUAGGUAAUCUGGUCUAAUGCUAAUUGUAUGUUUUACUUUUCUUUUUCACCUGCUCCCCUUUUCAACUCAAACGGAUGCAAUAGUUUGUGAUCCCUGUUUAAGACGGAAGCAUGAUACUAAUGAAUAUAUCAUUGAAACUCAAGGAAACUAACAUUAUGAAAAGUGUAAAUCUUGAUUUGAUGCAACUAUUUAUUCGUGGAAUAUAUAGUUACAAAACUCAAAUUCUGACUGCGCCAUUGAUAAAUUAUUAAUGACGCUAUCAUCAUUAUUUAUCCCUAACUAGUUUCGACUACAACUGAACCCAAUAUUUUCCCCAUGAUAAAAGUUUUUGACUAUUUUACUGGCCUCUCUUCAAAUUUUAAAAAUUACACUAAUCUUCAUUGAGAUUAAUUAUCUUGUAACAUUUAGUUCCGAUCAAGAAUUUAAAAAUGAUAUUAUGAGAGAAAAAAUAAUAUAAUUUUAUCAUUGCCCCCCAUCUUGCUAUAUUAUUUAAUAAAUUUAAUAGCAACCCACACAUUAAAGAAAAAUACUAAAAUUUGCUACUUUUCAUUAAAGAUCAAAUUGCAUAUGCCAUAAAACAUAGUAUAUCAUUCUAUGUGUUUCACCUAAUGUAAGAUCCCAAUUGUUAUUUUCAAUUACAAACCCAUUGUCAAACAUGAUCAACAACAAAUAACCAAAAAAUUUGCAACCAAAAUAUUACAAAAAAAAAUAAACUUUAACAUCAUAAAUAUUCUUACCACCUCCAGUGCAUUCACCCUCACCAACCACUAGUUUACAAGUCACCCCCACCACCUUACCACUAUUCCUCACCGCCACCCACAGUGCAUUCACCUCCACCACCACCUGUUUAUAAGUCACCUCCACCACCUUAUCAUUAUUCGUCACCACCAUCUGCAUUGCUUUCACCUCCAUCAUCACCAGUUUACAAAUCACCACCACCAUCUUCCCCAGUGUACAAGUCCCCUCCACCACCAAUUUACAAGUCUCCGCCGCUAUGUCCCCCAGUAUAUAAGUCAUCCCCACCACCGCCUCCAAUGUACAAGUCUCCGCCGACACCAAUCUACAAGUACAAUUCACCACCACCCAUGCCUCCAGUUUACAACUCCUUGCCACCACCUAUUUACAAACACAAGUCUCCCCCACCACUUCCUCCGGUAUACAAGUCAUCUCCACUGCAUCCUCCAAUUUAUGAGUCUCCUCGUCCACCAGUUUACGAGCACAAGUCUCCUCCACCGCCUCCUCCAGUAUAUAAGUCACCACCACUAUCUCCUCCAGUACAUGUCUCCACCACCGCCUAUUUACAAAUCUCCGCCUCCUCCAGUUUACAAUUCCCCACCACCACCAAUAUACAAGUCUCCACCUUCAUCCAACCAUUACUACUAUAAUACUCCUCCUCCUCCUUCGCACUACUGAGGAAUUGCAUCCAAGUUUUGAGGUAAUAACGCGUAACCAGUAUAAACUUUUGUAUGAUAAACCUUAUCCCGAUCAACACAAACUGCCAUGUGUAUCAUGCUAAGUACGUACGCUUAGAUCCAUGAAAAUGACUAGUAGAAGGUUAUCCUAAGAACCAAGGAACAUUAGUUUUCCCUCUGUUUCCAAAAACUUGUGUUUGUUUAACAUGCUUAUCAACUUGGAAAUGCGCAUUGCUAAUAGCCAACUGAAAUUUUUGCAGGCAAAUUGGGAAGAGAAUCAGUGUUUGAGCGGUUCAUGGAAGAAUAAGAAUAAAAGCCCAAUGCGAGGAUGUUCUCAAGUUUAUUAAUGUUUCCGUUCUAUUUUGUAAAUUGAUUUUUGCGACUUAAUUAAUUCCCUGUUUGUGGGGUUCGUGUUGUUUUACCUACAUGCCAUACAUGUUUGUAAUGAUUUUUAUUGCAAAAUGCCGGUCCAAUAAAAUAACUGUAUUCAUUUUGUGUCUUUUGAGUAAACUUCUAUUGGUUCUACUACUUAUUUUACGAUAUUUUUUUUCUCUCUUUCUCUUACAUUUUCCGUUUAAUAUUAUUGAUAAUUUUUUUAACAAAAAAGGUUGAUAUACUUAGGUAGUUCACUAGUUUGGUCUAAUCCUAACUUCAGGCUUGUCUUGUCUUUUAUCUCUACAUACCUUUUCAACUCAAAGGAUGCUACUAUAAUUUGUGAUCAUUGUAGUGGUGAUAUUCCGAGCUAUUACAUAUAAUUUAAGGCAGAGAUUUGAUCCUAGCGAGUAUCUCACUGACAGAUUAGGAAACAUCAUGAAAAGCGUAUAUCUUGAAUUAGUGCAACUAUUUCUUAGGGGAAUUUAUAGUUACAAAAUUCCAAAUUUUGAGAUUCUAUUACUGAUUAAUUAAGGACGUUAUCACUAUUUUUUUUUAAUUAUCACCAUUAAAUACCCCACAUACUAUAAGUUUUUUUAGGGCACAGGAAAAGAGGUGGGCCGAUGUUUAGUUAUCUACAAAAGUUCAAAUUUUGUAGAUAAAUUAUCAUGCGCCCUUAAAGAGUGCAGAAUACCAAAAAAAAAAAAAAAAAAAAAUCAUAUACUAUAACUAAUCCUAAUAUUUUUCCCUACGAUAAACUAACUCUUAUCCAUUUCUUUAGAUGAUGAAAGGAAAUAGUUAGUCACAUAUCCUCUAGUGAUUACAACAGCAUCAAAACAAAUUAGCACUCUUUUCCCGUAGUUUAAAAAUCCCUCAGCCACUAAGAUUUUGCAUAUCGAACGAAUUAAGGAACAUAGGCGCUUCGUGCUGGACAACAGUGUCCUUGUUGACGAUGCAUCCGCAUAUACUUCCUUAAGCAUUUUGAUUAUUUUAUGAUUCGAAUUUUUCUUGUCUGACAGCUGGACUUAAUUGAAAAACUCAAGUAAUAAUAUUCCAAAGCUGAUUCGUCAAAGUUUACCCAAUUGGUGAAACUUUCUUAAUAGAGCUGACUUUGUAUUACGUGACAAUGAUAUGGAUGCUCAAAGUUUUCAAUGGGAAAUUUAUAUGAGCUUUUCACGACAAAAUGUGUUCCGAUAAAGGUUCAUUCCAGAGGUUAAAAUUUUGUUUGUUAAAAAUUUACUUCUCAAGUCUUUGAUGCGAAAGUCUUGGUAUUUCCAAAAAGUCUUGAAAUCGCAGCAUAUAAGCCACUUUCUGUUCUCUUUUUUUCAUUGAAGUCUUUCCAAAUGUCAGUUCCAAAAGGAGUUUUUUAUGAAUUAUGAUAGAUAAUUAAUCUGACGGUCCAUAUAUAUGUGAUUUGCAAGAGGGUGUUUGGCGAAAUGGUUAGGCUUUCUAAGUAAUGAUAGGAAUGCCAUUUGCAAAGAAGGACAGGGGGCCUGUGCUGUCAUAUUUUAUGCGAUUUGAUCCGUUGUUGUAUAAGUUUAAAUUUUUGACGUGCAAUUGUGCUACAAUAUUAUACUAAAUAUAUGUGUGAAAUAUUUUGUCUAUAUACAUCACUUUUAUCGUGAAUACAACAGCUGAGUAUAAUAAUAUAAUAUAAUGUAAUUAUACACCAAAUAAUGUAACAAAUAUAACAAUCGAUCUGAAUUACACGAAAUCAUAACAACAAGAUCACCGCCUCCCAAAUUUUACAAAAUAAGGUUUUUUUUUUCUUUUAGAUUAUUGAAAAUUUUCAAAAAUAUUCUACAUAAUUUAAAUUUUUGUCCUACAAAAAUUAAAAGAGAUUUUAUAUUGCACGCUUAAGCUUAGAUAUAUUAAAGUUUGCCCCCAAGAUUAAUUUUCCGUUUUUAUCUAUGGUUUCUCAUCUAUGAGCCGAUCCAUAUAGCUAGUUAGACUGUACUCCUCACAUUUGUGGGAUUUGACACCCAAGAUUCUCCUUCUUGGAAUGUAAAAUGUAGAUCUUCUAUGUUAAUAAUUCAGGACCCAACUGUCAUAAACGAAAUGACUGAUCAACUCCUGUAAAUCUAAUUUAACAACAUUUAAAUGGAGAACUUUAGCUAAAAGAAUUAUGGUUAUUUUCCAACAUAUGCAAUCAUUGAUCAGAAUAUAUAUAUAUAUAUGUAAAAGACAUCUUCAGUCAUUUCAUAGCUUACCAGGCAAAUUAACCCCUAAGUGAACCUCUUCGAACAGAACUGACAAUAUGGAUGAAGAUCUGGAUAUUCUUUUAUCCUGACUCCUAAGGGAAAACUGGUUGAUCUAGAAUCAAAAUUUUACCCUAGUUACCCAGGCAACUUUUUUGUUGCCUUUUUUUUUUUUGGUAUAAAGCUCCAAUUUUGCUCCCUCUGUUAAGCUUAUAAUGCAUAUAAUUAUUAAGAUAAUAAAAGUGCCUUGAAUAGUAUUAAUAUAUGCAUUGACUUGAGCUGUCAUCAGUUCGGCCACUUCGAUUCCAUGAGGCCUUUUCAAUUCACACUAGCUAGAAAAUGGGGAGUCGUGAAAACCUUUUGUUCUAUUCAUUGCUAAGAUGCUUUUCUCUAUAAAGAGACUUCCUAACGAAAAUACUUUGUAGAUUUCUUUACUCCAAGUGGUGCAUGAAAAAUUAAUAUUUUCAAUUAACAAAUAAAAUUCCCUUUUUUUGGUGUAGAUUUCAUCCAUCCAGCUGUUAACACAUUCUAUAAAUCCGAAUUGACUAAUCUUUUCAUUUCCAUUUUCCAACUUGCGAAUACGGCAUCUUAUAUAAUGUCUGCUAAACACUAUAUAUUCUCUGCCAAAUAUGAAUACAUAUCACUUUUCUGAGCAAGUGCAGAGUCAUUAUCAUUUUUAUUCCCACAUAACAAAUUAGUGGUUGAGCAUCUUUACAUGCUAUCAGGUCACAAGUUAAUAAUCUUUUAAAGAACAUGUUAAAUUAAUUUAUUGGUAUGAAUAGUCAAAGAAGUAUGUUAAAGUUAGCAAUCUUUAAAAUAAUAUGUUAAAAUCAUUAGUACAAAUUAGUCAGAGAAGUAGCAUAAACACCACGAUGCAAUUAAUACUUUCAAUCUCAAGGUCUCUCUUACGGAAAUUUGCAUCGGUCAACAUACACAAAGCAUAAUUGUAUGCACGUCUCUCUAUCAUGGAAUUUGCAUAGGUCAAUAUACACUUGGCAUAGUUGAUAGUUGUAUGCGCGUAGGCAUGGCCAUGGUUCCAUUUGGAACUGGGAAUCAGACCGAAACCGGAUCGUUUGGAACCAGAUCAGAACCGGAAUCAAAACCAUGAAACCAGAACCGUGAUAGAACCUUGGAUAAAGGUUCCGGUUCUGGUUCUCUAAAAAAUAGAACCAGAACCAGAACCGUUAAAAAUAAUUAAUAUAAGUGGUGAGAUAAUUCAAAAAAAAUUAGUUGUGUUUAAUAGGUUUUAAGAAAGUUUAAAUUUUAUGGACUUUCUAUAUAUUUUAUUAAUUAUUUAAUUCUUUCUAUUCAUCUAAUAUUUAUCAUUAUAAUUUGCAAGUAUUAAAUUAUUACUUAAAAUUUUUUUUUUUUUUUGCUUAUUUGCUAUCAAAUGACAAGUUUUGAUGGUAGUAGCUCAUCUUCAAAAUCAAGCAAGCAAAAAAAUAUUUUUUGCAAUAUUUCUUCAAAUGGAAUCUUCAACAUUGAUGAUUGUCCAACUCAAGAAAGUCAACAUAUGACAACCAUUUGAUAGUGUAAUGUAUUUUUUAAUUUGACAAUGUAAUGUACUUUUCAUAAAAUUUAUAUUAUCUAUUUAUUACUUCUUACUUUGUAGAAUAAUAAUAAAAUUAAAAUAUGAUCUUUAUUUUGUAUUUAUUUUUUUACGUUUUAUUUGAAAUUUUAAAUAUAUUGUUAUAUUCGUAUUAAAAUUGGUAAGGAUAAGGAAUUAAAUAAAAUUGUAUAUAACCAUACAGAACCGGAAACCGGAACCAGAACUAUAAGGAACCAAAAUCAGAACUAUGCGGUUCUGGUUCUACCUCUUUGAAGAACCAGAACCAGAACCAUUUUAUAUGGUGCGGUUCUGGUUCUACCUUUUUUAAGAACCAGAACCGGCGGUUCUAGAACCGUGGUCAUGCCUAUAUGCACGUCUUUUAUUUUAUUUUAUUUUAUUUUUUGGUACUGUUCUUCCUUGCUUUAUAGUAUGCACGUUUAUUUCUUUGGAUUGCUUAAGAUUAUAUUGUUAAUAAUAGGGCAUUUAACCAUAAAUUAUAAUAAUUAUGAAGUAAUAUAUAUUAGAAAAUUAACACAAUUAUGAUUUUUUUUUUUUGUAAAUUCAAAUUUUAUUAAUAAGAAAUGAAAUAGACCGUAAGCAAAAACAAAAUCCUACAACAACUCUAGGACUCUACACCUUAUAUAAAAAAAAACUAGGACUCUAUACCUCAGAGAAGCUAAACAAUCCAACAAAUAAAAUGCAAAAUAAAUCACAAUAACGCAAAUUAUGUUAAGCUAAUAAAUACUACCAUGCAACAAAAUUUUUGUCUUUGUCCCGCGUGAAACUACGAAGUCAAGAAUUGACUCCUUUAACCAGUAUUGCCAGCGGGGCUCCGUCAGCAAGAUACAACUUUGCAAUUUUAUACAAUAGAAAUCCUCAAAUAGCUAUUUUGACAGGCAAAUUAAGCAUUAAUUUUGGUAUCCCUUCAUAAAAUACAAGAGUACUUUUGAUUAUAUCUAUAGAUCAACUUUCUAGGCUUGAUGUAUUAUAAGAAAAAUCUGCCUAAACAUUUUGAUAGCAUUUUUCCAAAAGCAGAAGAUGGAAAAUUGCCCAUUUGUAAUGGGGAGUUCGUGAUCUUUUCCUCAUUCUAGUCUACUUACAAUUCUUGGAAAAAGGAAUACUCACAUCUCAAACAACAGCCAGCUCAUCUGCGCUGUCCUGCAGAAUUCUAGAAAGUUAGGUGGCAAUGUUAAUAACAUUUCAAAAUUGACUGCUGCGAUAACUAAUUCGAUGGCUUACUACAUGGUCAACGUUUGGAUCCCUUCCUGCCGGCACUGUCCUUUUUGGAUGCACAUUUUUUUUCUCUAGGUAAUAUAAUCACCCAACUCAUUUCUUUACAAAUGCACCUUUAAUCACCACCAAAAGGUGUGGACAUGAUCUUUACCCUAGAAAACUAUUCACCGACAGGCAAAUUGACGUCAGAAAUACUAAGAGGAAUUCUAGUUUCCUUCGGGUUAAUGCCAUUUUGUACCCUUCAACUGUAACUCGAUUUCUAAGCUGUAAUUUGUGACAUUAUAGUCCUUAAACUAUGAAACCCUUCUUACUUAAGUAUAAUGGUUAAUACAAUACUGGUGAUUAGACAAGUAUGAAGCAACCAUAACAAAAAAAAAUCCAAAAUUAGAGAAAAGAAAGAUGUUUCGCGACCAAAGUAUGUAUCAAGGCAUAGUAUAGAAAUAAAAGUGUCAAAAUUAAGAGUUUAGGGAUAAAAAAGAAUCAAGAUAUAGUUUAGGGAUUGAUUUGUCUCAAUUAGAGCUUAGGUGUCAACUAAGAAGAGAGAUAUAGUUGAAGGGUAGAAUAUAGAUAUAAAGGUUCAAUGAUUGAUAUCAGUGAGACAAUGAUAACUUUGGAUUAUUACCAACCUCUUCUGGAUGGGAAAAGGAAAUAGAGAAGAAAGUCGGGCCUGGUCUAAGCCUGUUUCGGAGGCAAAACAACAUUAUGAAAUCACCGGCAUUCAGACAAAUAUGUCAAAGUCACCGGCAUGCUAAGUUGCAAAAUUUAUACAAACACUUAAUAUUAUAUUGUUCUUAAAAUUUUUGUUUAAGAUUUAACAAUUAGAGCACGGUACACGAAUUAGAAAUAUUAAAUAAUGAAUGUUCACGAUUGAUAAAGUUAUCAAAGUACAGUUUGAGGACAACCCAUUCCAACGUGUACAAGAUGUUUAGCCUUUGAAAAGUUAAUUAGAGAAGGUGACGAGAUUUUACGAGGCUGACAUCAUCUAGGCCUCGAGAGUAAAAAAUGAAGACACUGAGCGCUAUAAAAAGAGGGCUAGAUGUUGCCUAGAAGCAUAUCAGCCUCAGACCACGUUUUGUAGCAAUGGGGAGCAAAGCAAAAGCAAUGGGGUCUAGGCUGACUCCUCUUCUUACCACCGUUUUAGUGGUAUUUCUUGCUCUUGGCUUGCCUUCAGAAACUGCAGCUGAUUACUACAAGUAUUCAUCUCCUCCUCCUCCUUACCAUUAUUCCUCACCACCACCUCCUAUGCAUUCACCCCCACCACCGCCAGUUUAUAAGUCACCCCCACCACCUUACCACUACUCCUCACCGCCACCUCCAGUGUAUUCAUUUCCACCACCUUUGCCAAUAUACAAGUCUCCGCCACCACCUUACCAUUAUUCCUCACCACCACCCCCAGUGCAUUCACCCCCACCACCACCAGUUUACAAGUCUCCCCCACCACCUUACCAGUAUUCCUCACCACCACCUCCGGUGCAUUCACCACCACCUCCUCCAGUUUACAAGUCCCCGCCACCACCUUACCAUUAUUCCUCACCACCACUUCCAGUGCAUUCACCUCCACCAUCACCGAUUUACAAGUCUCCACCACCACCUUACCAAUAUUCCUCACCACCACCUCCACUGCAUUCACCUCCACCACCACCGAUUUACAAGUCACCUCUACCGCCUCUUCCAGUUUACAAGUCUCCGCCACCACCUUACCACUAUUCCUCACCACCACCUCCGGUGCAUUCACCUCCACCACCACCGGUUUACAAGUCACCUCCACCACCUCCUCCAGUUUACAAGUCCCCGCCACCACCUUACCAUUAUUCCUCACCACCACCUCCGGUGCAUUCACCUCCACCACCACCGGUUUACAAGUCACCUCCACCACCACCUCCAGUUUACAAGUCCCCGCCACCACCUUACCAUUAUUCCUCACCACCAACUCCAGUGCAUUCACCCCCAUCACCACCAGUUUACAAGUCUCCGCCACCACCUUACCAUUAUUCCUCACCACCAUCUCCGGUAAAUUCACCUCCACCACCACCGGUUUACAAGUCACCUCCACCACCUCUUCCAAUUUACAAGUCCCCGCCACCACCUUACCACUAUUCCUCACCACCACCUCCAGUGCAUUCACCCCUACCACCACCUGAUAGGGUAUAAUUUGUUAGUAUUUUUAUUAUUAAUUUUCCCUUCUAUCCCUGACAAAUAUUGUGUUAAUUGCUGAUAUUUACUCAUAUUUGGUAUUUGGAAUCAAUUUCAGGAAUGAAGCAGAAAACUACCAAAAAGGAGGGACUUUGUGAAAAAUAUGGAGACUUCUAAGGGCUUCAAUCCUUGGGCCCUUGAAUUGGUGGGGGACCACAAGCUAGUGAAAGGCAUUUGGUCAUUUGGGCUUCAAAGAAAGCAACGUAGAGAGACUUGGAACAAGAAGUACUUGGGAGGCUUUGUCCACAUGUGUGGGGACCACCUAGAUAGCUUUUAGUCAUCUUUCUUUUGUUGCUUUAAAAGGGGACAACGUACAGAAGCAAAAGAUAUCUAGGGCUUUAGUUUUAGUUUUUAGUUUAGUUCUAGUUUUCUUUCUUUGGACUGGCCUCUGACACACGCCAGGUAUUCGACAAUAUUCCCCAACGGGGAGAUUUUCUCAUGAGGCGUGGUUAAGCUUUUCAAGGGGACACUGACGAUUUGGUUCAAUUUACUGUGAGAUCGAAUCUGUUUUAUUUUUUUCUUCAUUUUGGUUUUUAUAUGUUCCUUGAUUUUAAUUGCUAUGGCCUUGUGUAUGAUUGAUUAGUGCACAAUAAUUAAUUAUUCAUAUAGGCUAUUUUUGCUAAAUAGGGGUAAUUGAAUCCGUAAUUGUUCGUUAUCUCUACCUCAGUAGCAACUGGCGUAAUUGGGUUUAUGUCAGGGGAGCAUAUGAUCUAAUUUAAACAAACCCUCGUAGCGUAUUUGUUGGUUAGGAUUGGGCCUUUCUAAUUAUUAUGCAAUCUAGAAAUUAAAUCCUACGGUCGUACCUAGGGUUAUUUUUGGGUUAGAGAAAUAGCUAACGGUCGUACCUUAGCUAUCGAGAAAUUAAGGAAGGGUUGGUUGUUUAUCGCGUGCAUGACAACUAUAACUAAUCUAUUGCUAAAUGUUGGAAUUAUUUCUGCAUCAAUGAUCAGUGCCUGAACCAUUUCUGAAGUGUACCCUUGGCUAGAGUUUCUCUUAAUUAUUUCUUUUAAUCAAUUAUUUUCUGCACUUGAUUUAUUUAGUUAGCAUUUAAUCCAAGAACCUCCCAUACUCUGGACUCUAGAAGAAACGAAUUAUCCCCAAUCCCUGUGGAUUCGACCCUGCUCGCCGCUAUAUACAAAAUCUGUAUUUUUCUUGAGUAGGUAAUUAUUAUUGCACAGGUUCGGCACCUGUCACCACCAGUUUACAAGUCUCCGCCACCACCUUACCAUUAUUCCCCACUACCACCUCAAACGCAUUCACUCCCACCACCAGUUUACAAGUCACCGCCACCACGUUCUCCAGUAUACAAAUCACCUCCACCACCUCCUCUAGUUUACAAAUCUCCACCACCAUCAAUUGAUAAAUACAAGUCUCCUCCAGUGUACAAGUCAUCUCCACCACCUGCUUACAAGUCUCCACCUCCUUCAGUUUACAGUUCCCCACCACCACCAAUCUACAAGUCUCCACCUCCACCCUACCAUUACUACUACAAUUCUCCUUCUCCUCCUCCUCCUUCUCACUACUAAGCAGUUGUAUCCAAGUUUUUGAGGUAAUAACGCUUAACCAAUAAAUUAACUUUCGCAUGAUAAACCUUAUCCCUAUCAAGACAAACUGCCAUGUGUAUCAUGGCAAAUCCGUACACUUAGAUCCAUGAAAAUGAGUGGUAGAAGGUUUUCUUAAGAACCAAGGAACAGCAAUAGUAUUCCCACUGCUUCCAAAAACUUGUGUAUUAAAUAGAUUAACGAAUUGUUUAACAUGCUUAUCUACUUGAAAAUGCACAAUACCCAUAACCCAUUGAAAUUUUUGCAGGAAAAGGGGAAGAGAAUCUGUGUUUGAGAGCUUCAUGAAGAUGUUGAAGAAUAAGAAUAAAAGCCCAAUGCGAGGAUGUUUUCAAGUUUUUCUAUGUUUCCACUUUAAUUUGUAAAUUGAAUUUUGCGACUCAAUUAAUUCCCUGUUUGUGGGGUACAUAUUGUUUUACGUACCAUGCCGUACAUGUUUGUAAGGAUUUCUAUCCUAUUGGCAAAAGUCGGUUCCAUACAAUUAAUCAAUUCAUUUCACUUCUAUUGGCUCUACUAUUUAUGCAUGUUACGACAUUUUUUCUCUCUUUCCCUUAUAUUUUGCCUUUAAUAUUAUUGAGUCAAUAGUAAAAUUAUACUAUUAUAAAUAGGUAGUUUGGUCUAACGCUAAAUUCAUGUUUGUCUUUCUUUUAUUCCCUUUACAUCUCAAAGUAUACCAUAGUUUGUGAUCAUUGUGGUGAUGAUACACUACAACAAAAAUGGCCUUUCCUGACAUGUCUAUAAGGACACUUGCUGGUUUUUGUCAUUAUAGCACUUCUAUCAUGACAUUUGUUAUCAAUUCACUAAUUUAUACUUUUUUUUAUUUUAUCUGAUAUAAAAAUAAUAAUGUGUCUUUAGAUUUCCUAUCAUGGCAUUUUAGAAAAUGUGAGAUACAACGAAAAAAUUAAAACAUAAAACGAUGUCGUUUGAUUUUGACGGAAGAUUCAUUUGCCAAAACACUUAGUGAAAUCUCAAAACUUUCAUUGUGUCGAUUCUUCUCCUCUCUCUCACAAACCCUCUCUCUCGGCAGACUAUCUCUCAAAACUCCCCCAUUUUGGUUCUUUUGUCUUCCGCCUUCGCCGCCGCCCCACUCCUCCAUUUUCGGUUGCUAACUUGGCCGCUUCUCUGCCCUAUUCGGUCAACCACGACACCUACACCAAUAAGUCUUCGCUCUCUUUGCUAGGACAAAAGGAAUAAAAAAACAGAUACUCAUGUUCUUUCCUUUUUCUUCUUUCCUCUGAAACCGAUCCCCAUGCUUCUCCGUACUGACUAGAUAUUCAGGUUGAGCGUGUUGAGGAGUAGAGUAGGCGAAGGUUGCCGCCAUCGUCUCAUUGAAGUCCAGCCACUACAGCGGAAAUCAUCACUGUAAAGUUUCCCGUACUCUUAUACCUUUUUUCCCCCUUAAUUGUAUUGUUUUCUUCUUUGUCUGCAAUCAUGUCGGUUAUGCUUUACUUUCGUCUUGUUAAUCGAUUUUAAGUGGCUGGAAUUGAUCAUAGGUUUGAGUAGAGUUUUAGAUUUAAAAUUCAAGCUCAGGCCGUAUAAGGAACUGAUGAAAAAGAAAUUUCAAAACUUUUCAUCCUCACUACUUGUUUGUCGGAAGGUUCGAAUGAAGAAAGAAGGAAAUUUGCAAUGGAAGUGAACAGAGAGAGAUGAAAGUGAUUGGAGAGUGAAAUUUUGCCUUGGUGAACUUUUCUUUUGUUUUUGAUCAUCAAGUGCAAUAGAAAAGUACAUUUAGUACAAUUUCCUAACUAUCUUAGAGGAAAUCUUGUUUGGAACUUUCGCUGGAUGCUAUGCAACUUAUUUUUGAUGCUUUGGUCAUGAUUGUUGUUCUGUUUGCUACAGCCCCAUAAGAAGGUUUUUUUUUAAUUAUUAUUAAAAAUUACCGCAUAGCUUGGAUACUUUUGCAUUCCAUGCACCAUGUCAGCUAUUCAUAGCACAUAGCACUAAAGUAGAGCACUCUGUAAUUUUGGAGAUGUUUCAUCUACGCAUUCAAUUAUUUCGAGUUUUUAGUCCAAUGGGUAAUAAAUUGGUUGUACAUCACUUAUUAUGUUGCAUCCCAGUUAUAUUGACCUAGAACAAUUACCAUAUAGACAAAAAGAAGAUAUUAACUGCAGCAAAUUGAAGAAUAAAAAGAGUAUUUGUCAAAUCUUUUCUCCCAACAUCCCUCGUAAUUCUUUCCCCCAACCUCAACUUAGGCACACAUUGUGUCUCUCCUUUUCUUCUUCAAACUAAAUGUUCUUCUCAUGGACAAAUAAGAAUAAUUUGAAUUUAUGAGGAUACAGAGGAAGAGAAUGAAGAUGGAGAAGUUAAUUGUUAUAACUCCAGUUAUGAUAAAGUUGAAGAUGACUUUACAUAAGAUGGAUUAAGUGACUAGUGCUCUAUUGUAAGAUGCUGGGUGCAUAUCUUAAUUUCUUUGAAUUGACUUUAUAUCUCAAAAAAAAAAAAAAUUGAAGGGAUUCUAUAUUUAUUUGACUUGUGUGGUAUUUAUUUGUGUGACUGUCUUGUUUUUUGUCUGCUUUUAUGAUCUAGAGCAUUGAUUACUCUAUAUUUUUAGACAAGAAUAUAUUGUUUUUGUUGUAGAAUUUCUGUAGAAAAAAUACAGAUCUUGCACAUUAAACCCAAUGGGGACUGUUUGCACUAUAAUGCAUUAUGGGCAACUAACAAAUUGGGAUUUGCUAGCCAUUCAAUAUUUUGUAAAUCCUCUGCAGUGUAACAUACUGGAAAUUGCCUUUCAGUUACAGUCUCCAGCGAAGUGUCCUGAUUUAGUCUUUCAAGUUGGAAUGUGACUAAUAGUUUCUUAUCUUUUAAAAGUUUGCCAAUUUCAGGAGGAUUGGUUACAUAGUUUUUUAAGAUUUCUUUCCUCCAGUGGGCACUUAAAAAAAUAGUGAUUAUUGAGUGCUUUGAUCUGUUGAAAUUUAAUUGAAAAUUUUCCGAUCAUUAAUUGACACACUUCAAAAUACUAAUGACUACAUAUGUCAAAGCACAACCUAGGAAAUUAUAUCAGCACGUGCUCCGAUUGUAUGGUACUAAACUUGCAGUGCUUCCACAAAGAAUGUGAAGAGCACAUAUAUACUGAUCAUUGAAAAGAUAGAUUUCUAUUAUGAUUCUGCUAAUGUUUGAAGCACUAAAUGUGAAAUUGCUAUCUAUUUUGAAUGAGUAUCUGUUUCUAUGAAAACUUUGGACAAAUAUGCAUAUGACAAUAGUUUCUAAUGAAGUUACAAACGAUGCUGAACCUUUGGCAUUAUACCAAGAAGGUGUUAAUCAAGUUAACUGGUUACACUUCUAAGCCCUUGCCUGUGGGCAGAAUCUGAGCUAGCUUUAUUCAUUUGUAGCAAGAAGUAAUUUUGCAUGCCAAUGCCAUGCAUUGUUGACUAACCUGUCGCAUUCAGUGUUUGGACAGGUGGGAGUAUAUUGGCGGCACUUGGUUCCUUUCAGCAAAUUUGGUUUUCAAAAUCUGAGUAAGCUUUUACAUCUACUCUACCUUUCAAUAUUCAACUUUUCUUCUUUUUUUCUCCCCAUUUUCAGUCUGUUUUAUCUCUCGAUUAAUAGGUUUGAGGAACAUGGAACUUCUUAUGUUCAAAGAAAAUGCCCGUAAAGUACUUUACUGGUGCGGACAAUUAUCACAUUAGACAGAAAUUCAUGGAGCUGACUUCACUUUGAUUAGUUCGCUGACGGUAUGGGUUGCUCGGUUUUAAUAUCCUGCUUUAUAGGAGCCCAAGCAAUGUACUAUAUAUAUACUAUACCUCUCGCGGAUCGUUGCUAAUGUUGUACAAUUACGUUACCUGACUUUUAGCAUUUCUUUCAACUGGUUAGGGAUGAGAGUCUUUUUGUUUGUGCACAAGAAAGUCUUUCAAGUUAUUGUAAAUGAGAAUCUUUCGGUAAUUUUUUGGGAUUUUAGUACUUGCUUUGAGCAUUUGUUUGCGAUUUUAGUACUUGCUAUGUUUGUACUUGUUAUUGACUUUUAAUUCAAUGAAUUAUAUUUGAGUAUCGACUUCUUCUUUUAAAUUGCUAUAUGCAUUCUGCCUUUUGGGAUAAUUUUACAAGUCCCUUGGGAUUCUGGUUGAUGGAAUGUACAGCAGGGAGGACUAAUUACAGGUUGCUUCCAUAUGAAAAAAAAACAGGAAAAAACUCCUGGCAAUUAGAAGUGUCAGCAUAGCUUAGCUUCAAAAAACACUAAUGACAAAUGGGCAUGUCAUCCAAAGCAGUGUAAAUUCACAUGGCUACGUGUCCUUAAAGCCAUAUAUUAAGACAAUUCAAGAUGCCUUCAUAAAUUGGAUAUACUACUAAUCCGCUACUGAUGUUCUAAUGCUAUACGGACACUUUCGAUUAUCACAAAAAAAAGUUUUUGUUGGCAGAGGGAAUGCUAUAGCAGCAUGGUUUUCCUGACACAUUUGAAUGUUGCCAAAGAUUUGAGGCUAUCCCCACAUUGGAAGGGACAACACUCGCCCUAGGUGUGAGGAUAGAUAAAAUGUCAGGUUAGAUUAUCUAUACUGACACCUUUAAAUGCCGCUAAAGGCCAUUUUUGUUAUAGUGAUAUUACCGGCUGGUACAUAUAGUUUAAGGCAAAGACAUGAUAUUAACCUAUCUCAUUGAAACAUAAGGAAAAAUCAUGACAAGUGUGAGUCUUGGAUAAUGCACAAUUUGUAAGUGGAAUUUAUACUUAUAAAACUCAAAAAAAAAAUUUCACAAUGCUAUUACUAAUUAAUUAAGGACUUUAUUGCUAUAAUUUAUCGCUUACUAGUUUAAACUGUAAAUGAUCUCAAUAUUUUUCUCCGUGAUGUCGAUUUCUUUAGACUACGAAAGGGAAAAAUUAGUGACGUAUCCCCUACUUAGUUAUAAACUUUUCCAGUGGUUUUAAAUCCCUCGGGCUAAGGACGUACACUUGAUCCAUGAAAAUGACUAGUAGAAGAUUUUUUUUAAGAAUCAAAGAAAUGCAUUAUUUUUUCGGUCUGUUUUCAAGAAUUUGAGCAGUAUACAGAUUAAAGAGUGUUUUUUUUUAAACUUGCUUAUCAACAUAGAAAUGCACAUAGCUGAAAGCCAACUGAAUAUUUGCAGGCAAAGGAGAAGGCAAUCGGUGUUUGAGACCGUCAAGAAGAUGUAGAAGAAUAAGAAUAAAAGCCCAAUGCGAGGAUGAUUCCAAGUUUCUACGUUACUAUUUCUACAUCUAAAUUGACUUUAGCUCCUGAGUUCCAUGUUUAUGGGGUUUGUACCGUUUUACGUACCAUGCAGUACAUGCUUGUAAGGUUUUCUGUCCUGUUGGCAAGCCGCAAGUCCAUAUAAUAAAUGAAUACUAUUUAUAUUACGACACUUUUCUCUCUUUCUCUUAUAUUUUGUCUUUAAUAUUGUUGAUCAUUUUUUUUAUCAAAAGUAUCAAAUGCUUAGGUAAUUUGGUCUAAUGCUAAUUGUUUUACUUUUAUUUUUCACCUACAUCCCUUUUCAACUCAAAGGAUGCUACAGUUUGUGAUCAUUGUUUAAGACCGAAGCAUGGUACUAAUAAAUAUCUCAUUGAAAGUCAAGGAAACUAACAUUAUGAAAAGUGUAAAUCUUGAUUUGAUGAAACUAUUUAUUCGUGGAAUUUAGAGAUACAAAACUCAAAUUGUGACGGUGUUGCUGCUAAAUUAUUAAGGACAUUAUCACCAUUAUUUUUCCCUCACUAGUUUCAUCUGCAAUGAUCUCAAUCUUUUUGUAUUGAUCGGUUGUAAUGAAUCGCGAUUGAUUGGUUGUAAUCCGCUUGUAUUGAUCCCACUAUUGUGGAUACUUCUACGCUCAACAAAAAAUAUAUAUAUUAAAGAAUUAGCAAUAUUUUUUAGAACAAGUUAAAUUUAUUCAUACAAAUUAGACAAAGAAGUAUUUUAAAGACCAUGAUGAAAUUAAUACUUCCAAGGUCUCUAUUAGGAAGACUUCCUUGCCUUGAGUUGCAGUUGCGUGCAGAUGUUUAUAUUUCAAAUUGAUGGUAUAGUAAAAAUGUUGAAUUUCUUUAUCCCCGUGACUUCAAAAAUAUGAACUCAAGAAAUUAACUUCUUAACCAGUAUGUCAUACAAGCUUCACAAGAAAUGUAUAACUUUGCAACUAGAGUCAAUAGAAAUCGUCACAUAAUUAUUAAUUUUACAUCGAAAUUAAGCCUGUAUGACAUACUGGUUCGAGGUUUGGCCACGCUACCUUCCUAUUGUUUAAAAAUUCUCACAUAAUCCCUUGUACUUUGGACUAAACUCGAAUGUGAAAAGAAACCAUCCAAGCUAGUUUGGGAUACACUUGUUGCACUUUGAACUAAACUUGAACGUGAAAGGAAAUCCCAAAACCAUAUUGGGCAUGAAUUCACACUUAAUAGACCCAAAAAAAGAUGGCGACUGGUGAUGGAGGUGAAAGGCAGUGGGGACUGGUGGAGAGAUUUGAGGAAUAGAAGCAGACGAAAAAGCAACAAAUUUUUGCCAAAAAACGGUGACUUUCAUGGUUAAUAUUGCUACUCUCUAAUUGUACUUGACCAAUACAACAGUGAAAUUGUAAUUUAUGCUGAAGAUGGAGUUUGAUACGUGAAGAGAAUUUUUUAUAAAUUUUAUUUUGACCCAUAAUGUUAUCUUUAGAUACAAAAAAUAUUUUAAAAUUUUGAUUUUGGCCCGGUUAACUUUUGGUAAACAAAAAAUGCUCAUGCUUAGUGACAGGUUGUCGAUGCCUGUGCAAAAAUAAAAAUAAAUCUAGUUGCCAAUUAAAAUAAUCAGAGCCCAAUUCUGAGUACUGGAGCAGGGACUCUAGGUGUGCAAUGGGUUACUUGAUUCACUCUAUUUCCGAAGAGUUUGCUUAACCCGAUAUACCAGAAUGGGAUUGCUUAUUCAAAAGGAAUUGUUGAUUUGUAAACAGGGCAAGUAGGGUCGUAUUCUCAGGUGGGCUGGCGGUGCGCGGUCAAUCGACGGAGAAAGAGAGGAAAGGACGCGGGUGGAGGUUUUUGGGUUUUGGCCAAGAGAAGAGGGAACGCAGGGAAAGAGAGAGAGAGGGGCGGUGCUCGGGAAGGUGAGCGGCGGACGACGGCUAGGAGGGAAAAGGAGGAGCGGCGUGCGAAGUUAGAGAGGAGGAGGGAGGCGGCAUACGAAGGAAAAAGAAAUCAAGGAAGAAGAAAGAAAGAAAAGAGGAAGAAAGAAAAGAAGAAGGAAAAAAAAUAGUUUUUGGGUUUUUUUUCAAUUUUUUUUUAUUUUUUUGAAUUUAAAUGUCAAAUUUUGAAUUUUUGAAAAAAAAAACUGAAGGUUAAAAAGGAAAAUAAUUUUAUUUUGCUAAAAAAAAAUUUUUAUUUUUUUAUUUUUUUUUGUUUUGGAUCGUCAAACACAGCGUGGGCACGCCAAAAUUAUAAAACGUCCACUGAUCUUGGGAGUCACUGACACGGCGUGGGCACGCCAAGAUUUCACUUCCUGCCAACGUCGCGAGAUGUUGAAAUUGUACUAACAUGGCGUGGGCACGCCAAGAUUGGUAAACAUCCACUGGCCUUGGGAGUCACUUUUUGAGUGUCCUCCUCGCGUGGGCAUGCCAAGAUUCUAUGUCCUGGUCACAUUGGAGAAAAAUAUGAAAAUUGACUAGUACCCAAAUGAAAAACGACAAAUCGAAAGAAUUGAACAACAAAAAAUAAUAAAGCUAAUAUUUGGGUUGCCUCCCAAAAAGCGCCUUUUUUAACGUUUUUUGUUAGACGUUGAACACCACUCUUCAAUUUGGAUGUAAUUCAAUUUUCCUUGUAAUCGGUGGUCCUACUCCGGGUUCCAAAUAAUCAUUGAGUGCAGCCUUCUUUCUUUAUUUUCUAUUCAUUUUCACCUCAUAAAUUGCUUUCAUUCCCUGAUAUUUGUUCGCAAGAAUUUUGAAUUUACCCCUACAACCAAACUCAAAAAAUUCUUGCACAAAGGAAUUAGUAGCAUGAAUAGCAAACACAGAAUGAGAGUUAACAGUAUGUUUUAUUGUAUUAAAAAUAUUAAAAUGGACUAUUUCUCCAUCGAAUUCCAUUGUGAGAGUACCCUUACUAACAUCAAUCUUAGUUUGGAUAGUACUCAAGAAUGGCCUUCCUAAUCUAAUGGAUGAUGGAUUUGGGACACUUUCAUCAUCCAUAUAAAGCACAUAAAAAUCAGCAGAAAAAAUUAAUCCAUCUACUUGCACUAAAACAUUCUCAACUACCCUAUCUGAAUAAGUAAAUAUACGAUUAGCCAAUUAAAUUAUUAUCCCUAUUUCUUUUAAAGAUCCUAAAUUUAGGGAAUCAUAAAUUGAUUUAGGCAUCACAUUAAUAGAAACUCCUAAAUCUAGCAUGGCAUUUUUUAGAUUAGAAUGUCCAAUCUUACAUGGGAUAGUAAACAUACCUAGAUUCCCGUAUUUAGGUGGUAGUUUCCUUUGUAAAAUUGCUGAAAUGUUCUCAUCUACCACAAUAUGCUUGUCCUCCCUCAAUUUCUUCUUGUUGACACACAAGUUUUUCAAGCAUUUAGCGUAUUUUGGCACUUAUUUGAUCGCGUCCAACAAAGGAAUAUUGAUUGCCACCUUGCGAAAAAUGACGGAAUUUUUAUAUCAAUGCAAGUUUAAAUUCGAUUUUAUACCCGUUGACUGCAAGUAUACAGGCCGAAAUUGUAAUGUAGGGUAUGUAUCGGGUCGAUCCCACGAGGAGCAAAUUAAACAAGUACUAAGCCCUUAUUUUUCUCUAUUAUUUAGACUCACAAUAAAUUUGAACAGAGAAAGUAUAUUGCUAAAAUUUACAAAUUUGAUAUACAAAUAUAAUUUAACAAAUGCUAAAUGCAAAAGAAGAAAUUUCACUCAAGGAAGAAUUUAGGGAUGUAGAUUCCACUUAUGGCAUAAACAACACAAAUGAAUGGAUUUACCUCUUAUUAUUAUUCUUGUUUAACUAGGGAUUCAUUUCCAAAAUUAUCAAGUCUCAUUUUCAUGAUGAAAUGGCCUAGACCAAUAUAGUUUUCCCUAUUUUCAUGGUGAAAUACUACUACUACUCUGUUUUAUUUCAUGAAAUGCUGAAUAAUCCACCUAAGUGUAUCUCUAUUUUCAUGAACAUACAACUUAAGCUCUACUCAUUUAUUUCCAUUGUUACUACCAAUUCUCAUUGAAUAAUAACAACUAUAAACAUACUAUUGGUGAUCAAUCAAUAACAAGUAAUCACAACUACACAAGUAAACAAGUUAAUACAAAAUAUAACAAGUGUAAAUCACAUUCAAGUCAUAUUAUUUAGCCAUAAGUUUCAUCUACUUCCUAGAUAAAGAAAAUUAGCUACUCAUGAAUGAUUUAACAAUCAAACUCACAAGUUUAUUAAUGCAAAAUAUCAUAAAGUACAAGUACAAGAAAGAUAAAAGAAAUCUUAGCCAAUUGAUGGUGAAUCCCUCCAAUUUCUGCUAUGUUCUUGUACAAGAUGAUUACAACUGAAAACUCCAAAUGCUUCUCUAAGGACUCCUAGCUAGAGAGAAAAUGUUACAAGAAGGAAAAACUAGCUACGUAUGGUCCUGUCCUGCUUCUCCCCUGUGUUUUUGCAUAAAAGGUAGUAGAAAGUCUAUUUUCCUCUUCAUAAUUUCCUCCAUUCAGAUUUUGUAAAAAGAAGUCAAAGAUAUGAUGUUUCCUUUUUUCUACAACUCAUUUGGUCUUCUCUUUUGUUGCAGAAGCAUGUGCCACCGAUUUCUAUCCCUCAAAAUAGUUGAAAAAAUUGUGAGAAAGGUAAAGAAAAACAGCUGUGUCACUUGCUGAGCAGAGAGACAAAUCCGAGCCUCGGAUCCGGGGGUGAAACUGGAUCCGAGGACUUCCCAAGGUGGAUCCGAGGUCGGAUCGUUCUGACCUUGGAUACACUCCUCCAAAAGUACAUACGAGGGCUCGGAUCCCUCUUGUUCACACGGAUCCGAGCUCGAAUCCGUGUUGAUUAAAUUUUCAGUUUUUCACUUCUUUCCUUUUUCUACAUUUUUGCUCCCAAUUUCUUUUGUACUUUGUCCUCUGGAUGAUCCUUGCAUUUCUUUCAACUUCGUGCACGAAUUUCAUACAUCAAUAACCUUCACAAUUUCACAAAAUUAACUCAUUAAUCCACUCAUUUAUCAAGUUUUGAACACUUAAACAAUAUUUUAAGUAAUUAUCACUAAAAGAGUUCAAAUAUGGCUUUAAUCUUCUCAAAACAUGCCAAAGAUUCAUGCCAAAUCUGUACAAAAUGUACGUUAAAUAUUCACUUAUCAAAAAACCUCUAAAAUCUCCUUUUCUUUAUCUUGCUUCUUUGAUUUCUCUAACCUGCUCGGAAAAGGCGGUAAGUUAGUUCCAACUCUAAUUAUAGAAUCAGGAAUUAUCUUUGGAUUCGCAUUUCUCAUUCCUUCCUCCUCAAGCUCUUUGUCAAUUCAAUCUUCAUUUUUAUCUUUCGGAAUCACAAGUUCGGAUCUCUGAAUUUUCUUCCCGUUCCUUAAGAUCAUUGCACUUACAUUUUUCAGGUUCAGUUCAGGUUGAGACGGUAAUUUUUCAUAAACUUGGGAUUCCAGGCGGUUGAUUGCUAUUGCCAUCUAACUCAUCUGAUUCUGCAUUACUUGCAUCUGUCCCAAUUGAUUUUUCAUACUUUGUAGGUCAGAAUCCAUUUUUUGUUGAUUAGCAAUUAAUUGCUUCAUCAUCUCUUCUAUAGACAGACUUGAGUUUGAAGGAGGUGGUGGCGGGCGAGACUGAUACUGUUAUUGAUACCCUUGCUGUCUAUUUGGUGUAAAAUCUGGCUGCCUAUUUCCUCCAUAGUUGAGGUUGGAAUGAUCUCUCCAACCAGGAUUGUAUGUAUUCGUGUACGGGUCGUAUGGCUUUCUUAGCACGGGCGCGUAACCAGCCAUGUUCACUUGCUCCGUACUUUUCUCUUGAAUCAUUGAGCACAUCUCUGUAGAAUGACCCAUAGCAGUGCAGAUCCCACACAAUUUGGCUCGUGAUGUAUUUCCUAUAGCUAAUUGCCUAACAAAGGAUGUUAAUUCGGUCAACUGCUAUUGGAUGGAAUAUGUCUCUACCUCAUUUACUUUGCGUGUCGGGACAUCUUCCCUCGUAUCAAACUGUUACGAAUUCUCCGUCAUUCCUUCAAUUAGCUCCUACGCUUCUCAAGAAAUUUUGUUCACCAAUGCCCCUUCACUUGCAGCAUCAAUUAUACUCCUGUCUCUAAAAAACAGCCCCUCGUAAAAAUAUUGGAUGAGCAAUUACUCACUUAUUUGGUGUUGAGGGAACUUGAUGCAUAACUUCUUGAAUCACUCCCAAUAAUCAUAAAGCGACUCUUCUAGAUACUGCUUGAUACCGCAUAUCUCCUUCCUUAGGCUUGCAGCUCGAGACGCAAGAAAAUAUUUGUUCAAAAACUUUUUCUUCAACUGAUCCCACGUGGUGAUGCUACUUGGUGGUAAGUAGUACAGUCAGUCUUUUGCGGAGUCCUUCAAGGAGAAGCAGAAUGCUCUCAUUUUUAUCUGUUCUUCUGUAAUUUCCGGAGGUUUCAUACUGUUGCAAACGACAUCAAACUCUUGCAAAUACUUAUACGGUUCCUCACCUGCUAAAUCAUAAAAAGAUGACAAGAGAUGAAUUAGACCAGAUUUUAACUCAAAUGGAGUGGUUAUCAUUUAAAUAUGGAAAAGUAAUACAUAAGGGCUGCUGUUUUAAAUCAGGAGCAGCAAACUCCCUUAGUAUCCGUGCAUUAGCCAUAGUGACUUCUUCUCGAUCCGAGUCACUAGAAGUAUCACUAUGUGAAUCUGUUAGUUCAACUUCUGGCUUAGGUCUUUGAGAUGAAGCACUGGAGUGCUCUUCUCUAAGUUGUCCGGUCUCUUUCCUUAUUUUAUGCGCAGUCUUCUCUACCUCGGGGUCAAAAAUUAAUUCACCUGUAUGAGAAGAAUGAGGCAUAUACUAGGAAAGCACUAGAAAAUUAGAACAAAAAUGAACCUAAAAAGAAACAAAUAAACCAACACCAGUCCCUGACAACGGCGCUAAAAAUUGACAGGUUAUCGAUGCCUGUGCAAUAAUAAAAAUAAACCUAGUUGCCAAUUAAAAUAAUCAGAGCCCAAUUCUGAGUACUGGAGCAGGGACUAUAGGUGUGUAAUGGGUUACUUGAUUCACCCUAUUCCCGAAGAGUUUGCUUAACCCGAUAUACCAGAAUGAGAUUGCUUAUUCAAAAUGAAUUGUUGAUUUGUAAACAGGGCAAGUAGGGUCGUAUCCUCAGGGAUUGGAAAAAAUUUGUUUCUUUUCAAAUCCACAGUAACAAGGAGGUGUUUUUGUAUAAACGAUAACAAUCUAAGGAGUGCAAAUAGAAAUAAAUAGAUAACUAGAAAUUAAAUGACAAUUCACUAAAAUUAGAAUAAUAAUAAUUAAAGGUCUAGCCAAGAAAUAAUUUCAGCAAUGGUUCACCUAAUUGAUCAUCGACGCAAAGGCAAUUCCAAUUAUUUACUAAUAAAUAGAUUAUAACUGUCAAACAAGUGAUGAUAGUCAACCCCUCCUUACUGUAUCAGUGAUUAAGGUAUGUCCGUUAAUCACUGCUAUAAUUGAGAAAUAAUCUUAGGUACGUCCGUAAGAUUUAAUUCCCCAAUUGCCUUACGUAUUAGAGGAGCCCUAUUCUAACCAAAUAACGCACUAUCAGGAUUAUUUUAAAUUAGCCCAUGUAUUCCCUUGAUACAAACCCAAUCAUGCCAGUUGUCACUAUUUCAAGGCAAUGAAACAAUUACGGAUUUAAUGCCCUAAUUGACUAUAGGUUACUAAAUCAAUUCACUAUCUCGAUCCAAGAUAAUCAAUCAAUUUAACAACUAAUAGCACUGCAAUCGGAGAAUAUGUAAAUACCAAUAAAUAAGAGGAAAAGAUAAAAUUAAAUCGAUCUCACAAUUUUUAGACAAACCAAAGCAUCAGUUAUUUCUUGACUAGAAAAGAAAAUUUAGUUCAUUCCUAAUGCGAAAGACCCACGCGAGAAUUCAAAAAUAAUAUUCACGGACAUCGUCUUGAUCCAGUAGAUUCAAUUGCGUUGGAAUAAGGAUAAAAAACCAAACUACAGAGAGUGAUUCAUUGUUUUGUUUCGUCUGCACUUUUUCUACACAUACGGAAGAAGAAAAACAACUAAAGGAUGAAAAAAGAAAAGUCAAAGAAAGCCACCCAAAGUAGUGCUUGGUCUCUACCAUCCUAUUUCCUAUCUAAUUACUACUUCCCUUCUGCGGCUGCCUAGAGGAAGAAAGAAAAGGAGACUCCAGGUCUUGUUCCAUCUCCUCCCUUUUCGGCAAUUCCCCAAAAGUAGAAAAGUUCCUCCGUUUACCAAAAUGCCCCUGGAAUGAGGACCGCUACUUGAACUCAUUUCCUGAUGACUGUCAAAUUGACACUUGUUAUGGUAUUUGCGUUCCACUCCCUGUAAUAAAUGCAAAUUGUCAAAAGUGAGUAAAAUUUGACAAUUAAUUUAAAUCGGGUCAGGUAAUAGGGGAAAUUAAUUAUAAAAUAAAUGAUAAAAUUGUAACCUAUCACUUAGAAUAACUAGAAAUAAAACAAAACAAGAAAUGAAAGAAAUAAGAGGGGUAGCAUAGACAUUUUGGAUUUUUCUGUUAAUUUGGAUGAUUUCCACCCACGGUCUAAUUUAAUCCAAAACACAAAUGGAUUAUGUGGAGGUUUUUAAACAAUGAGGGAGUAUCAUGAUCGAAUUCUAAAACACAAAGGGGAUUUACUAUAUUUUACUCUUAAAUUUUGGUUUCAUCUCAUAGCAUACAAGAGUACUAUUUCACUGUCUGUCGACAAAGAUUUUCUAUGGUUGAUGUACCAUAGGAAAAAUCUGCCUAUACCAUCAUUUGGAAAAAUUAUCAAUCCAAACAUAGCCACCAUAGCAUUUUUUCAAAAACACAAGAUGGAAAAUUGUCCCCUUAAACGUUGAAAUUCAUGAUCUUUCCUCGACCUAGUCUACUUGUCAAUUCUUGAAAAAAGAAUAGUCACGCCUAAAACACGGCCUCUUCAUCUGCAGAAUUCUAAAAAGUUAGGUAAACUCUAUAAACAAGUUGAUAGGUACAAUCGUACCCAAGAUCAAGUACAGGUAUUUGUACAUUCACUGCUGCAAUAACUAAUCUGAUGACUUACAAACACAUCAUGGUCAAUCGUUGAAUGGUAAUGAGUCUUUUGUUAUGCAUUAGUAUUAGUGUGUACACUCUAAUAGAUUGAUACUUAUACACUUUAAAUUAUCAUAAUAAUACCCUUAAUUAACUUUAACUCUUAAAAAGAAUACGUGUUAAUACACGAGAGUGUGUAAUAGAACGGCAAGCAUUAUGGUGGUCAUUGAGCAACUUAUAGGAGAAAUAGUCCUAUAAGCUGUUCAAUGACCAAUCACAACUUGCUAAUUGGAUGACUAAUAUAGCUCUAGCUGUAAUGUUUUAAUUAAAUUCCAUCACUAACGUUGGGAUGACUUUUUAACCAAAAAAAAAAGCCUUAGUUCAAGCUCUUCCCUUUAUUGUGCAUUUUUUAAAACAUUUGAUAGGCACUGCAAAUCUGUCAUUUUGGACAUUUUAUUAUUAACUAACCAUGAAAGCCGUGGACAUCAACCCAUAUCCAACAGAAUAUUAAAUUAAUAUUAGAAAAAAUUAUUAAGUAAUUGGAAAAAAAAAAGAAGAGACUAAUUUUCAUUGAAACCCACCGACAAACUAUACGUGUCCAUAGCUUUUGAUUAGUGCAUUCAACGUUUAAUUGUAUAGUCCAGUUCAUAGCCGAUUACAUGGAGUAAAGAUUGUGCUCUUUCCUUUUUCACCCCUUUUGGAAUCGAUACUGUGGAGAAUUGGGUUUUUCCCUCCUUUUUUUCUUUUCUUUCCUUCUGUGCUUUGCAAAACAUAGGUAAAAAUAUGAAAUCCGAAGCAUUCUUUAAUUGGGAUUAAGUAUUGUUCUUGAAAUUAAAAAGAAGAAAGAAAGAACAACAAAAAUCCCAAUCUGGGUUGAUUGUUGAGCUCUAGUUUGGCGGCAUCGUGCUUCCAUAGAAGUUCUCUUAGUGUGAUACGCUGCUUUCAAUCAGUUUAACACGGGAAAAAGAAAAGACAUGAAAAGCAAAUUUUGUGGGGAUAAUUUCAGAAAUCUCUCCUGAAGUUUUUUACUAUUUUACUGGCCUCCUUUCAAAUUUUAAAAAUUACACUAGUCUUCCUUGAGAUUAUUUAUCUUGUAACAUUUAGGUCCAAUCAAUAAUUAAAAGAUGAUAUUAUGAGAGAGAAAAAAAUAUGAUUUUAUCAUUGCCCCCAUCUUACUACAUUAUUGAAUUAAUUUAAUAGCAACCCACACAUUAAAGAAAAAUACUAAUAUUUGCUGUUUUUCAUUGAAGAUCAAAUCACAUGUGCCAUAAAAUAUAGUAUAUCAUUUUAUAUAUUUCACUUAAUGUAAGAUCCAAAUUAUUCUUUUCAAUUACAAAUCCAUUGUUAUUAUAAAAAAAAAAAUAAACUUUAACAUCAUAAAUAUUCUUAUCAAAAUAUUAAAGUUAGUUACUAAAAUUUUUAUGGUGUUAAAGUUCACUCUUUGUAAUAUUUAUGGGUUUGUAAUUGAAAAGAAUAAUUUGGAUCUUACAUUAAGUGAAAUAUAUAGAAUGAUAUACUAUUUUUUAUGGCAUAUGUGAUUCAAUCCUUGAUGAUAAAAAGCAAAUUCAAGUGUUUUCUUUAAUGUUUGUGCUGAUAUUAGAUUAAUUAAAUAAUUUAGUAGAUGAAAGAAAAUAGUGAAAUCAUAUUAUUUUUUCUUUCCUAAUAUCACUUUUUAAUUAUUGGUUGAACUUAGAUAUUACAAAAUAAUAAAUCUCAAGGGAGAUUAGUAUAAUUUUCAAAAUUUGGAGAGAAGCUAAUGAAAUAAUCAAAAACCUUAAGGGAGGUUUACAGAAUUAUCCCAAUUAUGUGGGAAUUAGAAUAAUUGUACUGGACGGCACUGCUGCAAUAGAGGGAAAGAGGAGAAGGUGCAGUUAACUUUUGUUGUUUGAAAUCCUUGGCGAAAUAUUACAGAAAGACAGAUAAAACGGUGGUUAGUACAUAAAUGUUUAUGACAGGGAAAAUGGUACGUCUGUUAAUCACAUUUGAAACAUUUUCAUUGGUGAAUGACCAAAAGUAUCAGGCUUGUCCAAUAGUUGAUCAUUGACCAAGAUAAAACCUGCCAUGGUAGAGCCGUAGAGGUACGAUCUUUUCGUACCUCUUAGUGCACAGGACAUUCCUUUGUUUCAUCUAGCUAAUAAUCUACCAACUCAUUUCUUCACAAAUGCACCUUUUAUGGUCACGUCUACGAAAGCCUUUACAGGAUCUUUACCCUAAAAAUCAAUUCACCGACUCCCAUUUGAUGUCAGAAAUUCUUCUACUUUACUCCAAGAUUGACUGUUAAUAAUAAUGAGACAAUGACCACUUUGAAUUAGGGGUGCGCAAAAUUAUCUGCUAAUCCGAAAAUCCGUCAUAUUCGAUCUGAUCCGAUCCAAAAAUUAGGAUAUUUGAUUUUUAUUAUUUGAUCGGAUCAAAAGAGGGUCGGGUAUCCGCUAAGAUACGGGGCGAGUUAGAGUCACAUAAUUAAAAAUUCGCGGGUAUCCGAUCCGCCCCGCAUAUAUAUAUUUUUUAUUUUUAUACACACUAUAAAAUAAUAAGUUAGAACCAAAUAAGUAAUUUUAUUGAACAAAUUGCAUUACAAAUAUGAGAGACUAUAGUUUAUUUACAAGAUUCAUUUGUAAAGGUCAUGAUCUUAUAUUUUAUAGAAAAAAGUUUAAUUAAUGUGGAACAUAUAUAUUAAAAAUUGUGCUACUUAUUUCAAACUUUUAUUGAUUUUGAUUUCUUUUAAUUUUUUUCCUUUAUCUUAUAUUCUCUUCAUAUGCUUGUUUCUUGGUGGGAAACCUUUUUUUAGAAAAAAAAAAUUAUUAAAUCUUAGAUGAAUGUGUAAAAUAUAAAAUUAAAUUAGUAUAAAUCAUUUUUUUAAAAAAAUUAAAUGAUAAACGGGACGGAACGGGUACCCGCUGAUCCGACCCUAUCUUAUCGGGUACCCGCUGAUAUGCGGGGCAGGUAAAAAUCAGAAAAUGACUGACCUGUAAGGUGCAGGUCGAAUCAAUCAAAUGGUGAAUGGGACGGGUAUACGACCCGCGCCAACACCUACUUUGAAUUAUCACACCAUCCUUCUUGAUAGGAUUGGUACUAGAGGUAGGGAGGGGAGUCGGCUGCAUCCGGUCUUCUUUUCAUAGAUGUCAUUCACGCAAUAUUAUAUUUCGAAGUCAUUGCAUGGCUAAGCUGCAAAAAAGUACGAACACUUGUUAUUAUAUAGCUUAAGAUUCAAAACGUUAGAGCAUAACCCUCCACCUAACACAAUUGAAUAAUGAAUAUUCACGAUUGUCAAAUCUGUCAAAGCACAGUUUGAGGACAACCCAUUCCAACCUGCAAAAGAUUUUUUACUUUUCUAAAGUUGUUGAGAGCUGUAAAAAGACUUACCAUGCUUACAUCUUCCGAGCCUUGGGAGUUAAAAAUGAAGGCACUGAGUGCUAUAAAAAGGGGGCUAGAGGCUGCCUAGAAGCAUAUCAGCCUAAAACAAGAAUUUGUAGUUAUGAUGGGAAGCAAAGCAAAAGCAAUGGGGUCUGGGCUGACUCCUCUUCUUACCACUCUUUUAGUGGUAUUUGUUGCUCUUGGCUUGCCCUCAGAAACUGCAGCUGAUGAUCACUACAAGUAUUCAUCUCCUCCUCCUCCUUACCACUAUCCCUCACCACCACCUCCAGAGCAUUUACCUCCACCAGUGUACAAAUACAAGUCCCCACCACCACCUCAUCAUGUUUACAAGUACAAAUCUCCACCACCCCCACCACCACACCCAGUUUACAAGUAUAAGUCGCCACCACCACCUCCUCAUCCGGUACCACACCCAGUUUACAAGUAUAAGUCACCACCACCACCUCCUCAUCCGGUACCACACCCAGUUUACAAGUAUAAGUCACCACCACCACCUCCUCAUCCGGUAUACAAGUAUAAGUCUCCUCCGCCACACCACACCCAGUUUACAAGUAUAAGUCACCACCACCACCUCCUCAUCCGGUACCACACCCAGUUUACAAGUAUAAGUCACCACCACCACCUCCUCAUCCGGUAUACAAGUAUAAGUCUCCUCCGCCACCAC